AUACCUGUUCGAGCGUCAUUACACCCCUCAAAGAUGACUCUUUGGCGUUGGGCAAUGCCUAAAGGCAUGCCUCAAAAUCAGCGAUGGUGAUAUUCAACCACAGGCGCACACACGUCGUCUAGCUGGCGGGAUGUUGACAGUCAAUUGAUGAAUUUCUAAAUGUUGACCUCGGAUCGAGGUAGGAUACCCGCUGAACUUAA
RNAcentral lists this unclassified non-coding RNA (200 nucleotides) under soil metagenome. RNAcentral describes it as "partial contains internal transcribed spacer 2 and large subunit ribosomal RNA". The record is from RNAcentral.